This 22-nucleotide microRNA is filed under the name Callithrix jacchus (white-tufted-ear marmoset). RNAcentral describes it as "Cja-Mir-5579_3p* (star (passenger))". The record is from RNAcentral. RNAcentral also lists the same sequence under 1 other name. Lineage: Eukaryota; Metazoa; Chordata; Mammalia; Primates; Cebidae.
UUAGCUUAAGGAGUACCAGAUC